This 440-nucleotide ribosomal RNA is filed under the name uncultured bacterium. RNAcentral's name for it is "partial 16S ribosomal RNA". It matches the Rfam family "Bacterial small subunit ribosomal RNA", at positions 338 to 795 of the family's 1533-position model. The record is from RNAcentral.
CCUACGGGAGGCAGCAGUGGGGAAUAUUGCACAAUGGGGGCAACCCUGAUGCAGCGACGCCGCGUGAGUGAAGAAGUACUUCGGUAUGUAAAGCUCUAUCAGCAGGGAAGAAAAUGACGGUACUUGAUUAAGAAGCCCCGGCUAACUACGUGCCAGCAGCCGCGGUAAUACGUAGGGGGCAAGCGUUAUCCGGAUUUACUGGGUGCAAAGGGAGCGUAGACGGCAGGAGAAGUCUGGAGUGAAAUGCCGGGGCUUAACCCCGGAACUGCUGUGGAUACUGUGCAGCUAGAGUGCAGGAGAGGUAAGUGGAAUUCCUGGUGUAGCGGUGAAAUGCGUAGAUAUUAGGAGGAACACCAGUGGCGAAGGCGGCUUACUGGACUGUAACUGACGUUGAGGCGCGAAAGCGUGGGGAGCAAACAGGAUUAGAUACCCUGGUAGUC